RNAcentral lists this ribosomal RNA (1038 nucleotides) under marine metagenome. Its description in RNAcentral is "bacterial SSU rRNA". It matches the Rfam family "Bacterial small subunit ribosomal RNA", at positions 471 to 1520 of the family's 1533-position model. The record is from RNAcentral.
GACUGUACCCGAAUAAGAAGGUCCGGCUAACUUCGUGCCAGCAGCCGCGGUAAUACGAAGGGACCUAGCGUAGUUCGGAAUUACUGGGCUUAAAGAGUUCGUAGGUGGUUGAAAAAGUUGGUGGUGAAAUCCCAGAGCUUAACUCUGGAACUGCCAUCAAAACUUUUCAGCUAGAGUAUGAUAGAGGAAAGCAGAAUUUCUAGUGUAGAGGUGAAAUUCGUAGAUAUUAGAAAGAAUACCAAUUGCGAAGGCAGCUUUCUGGAUCAUUACUGACACUGAGGAACGAAAGCAUGGGUAGCGAAGAGGAUUAGAUACCCUCGUAGUCCAUGCCGUAAACGAUGUGUGUUAGACGUUGGAAAUUUAUUUUCAGUGUCGCAGCGAAAGCGAUAAACACACCGCCUGGGGAGUACGACCGCAAGGUUAAAACUCAAAUGAAUUGACGGGGACCCGCACAAGUAGUGGAGCAUGUGGUUUAAUUCGAAGAUACGCGCAGAACCUUACCAACACUUGACAUGUUCGUCGCGACUCUAAGAGAUUAGAGUUUUCGGUUCGGCCGGACGAAACACAGGUGCUGCAUGGCUGUCGUCAGCUCGUGUCGUGAGAUGUUGGGUUAAGUCCCGCAACGAGCGCAACCCUCACUUUUAGUUGCCAUCAUUAAGUUGGGCACUCUGAAAGAACUGCCAGUGAUAAGCUGGAGGAAGGUGGGGAUGACGUCAAGUCCUCAUGGCCCUUACGUGUUGGGCUACACACGUGCUACAAUGGUAUCUACAACAGGAAGCAAGACUGCGAAGUUAAGCAAAUCCCUAAAAGAUACCUCAGUUCGGAUUGCACUCUGCAACUCGAGUGCAUGAAGCUGGAAUUACUAGUAAUCGUGGAUCAGCGUGCCACGGUGAAUGCGUUCCCGGGUCUUGUACACACCGCCCGUCACACCAUGGGAGUUGGUUCUACCUUAAGGCAAGGUUUCAAACCCUUGACCACGGUAUAGUCAGCGACUGGGGUGAAGUCGUAACAAGGUAGCCGUAGGGGAACCUGCGGCUG